Molecule: long non-coding RNA, 428 nt
Organism: Notolabrus celidotus (New Zealand spotty)
Lineage: Eukaryota; Metazoa; Chordata; Actinopteri; Labriformes; Labridae
Exons: 3
Source: RefSeq, a predicted model, not a curated record
AGAGAGGAGGUCAAAUGUCUUAUCGAAUAAGCAUAUUUAAAAUAUCGGACGCCACACACUAAAAUACAGAAGCUUACAAACGUGUGAGUCACGCAUGAAUGAAAUGUGCUCAAACGAAUCUGCUGAAAAGUGUCGCGUAAAAGGUGCGAGACCAGCGCGUCAGAGUGGUUGUUCCAGAGAUGAGAAGGACUAAAUCCACGCUAUAAGCCAGCUGUUGAACUAAGAGAUGUGGAGUGAUGUGAUGUUGCUACGAGCUCUUCUGCUGAUGCUGAGUCUAUGGACGCGGUCAGAGCACACGCCAGGACAGCCAGCUUACAACGUUGAUCAUACUCCAUGUUUGUUCAUCUUCUGAAAUCAAGUUUGAUCACAUUUAGUGCUGGCAGAAUUUCAAGCAUGGAGAGACAUAUUUUCACAUUGCCUGAUGGUGG